Long non-coding RNA from Lycium ferocissimum, 742 nucleotides. RefSeq lists it as uncharacterized. The record is from RefSeq and is a predicted model, not a curated record. Lineage: Eukaryota; Viridiplantae; Streptophyta; Magnoliopsida; Solanales; Solanaceae. The transcript is spliced from 3 exons.
UAUGCUACGGACUCAACCGUGGCAUCAAAAUUCCUAACGGAGGUCAAAUUUACUAAGUUACCCUCCAAUGGAAAUGAAACAAGUUUUCAAACAAUGCACAAUAUACACACAAGAAUAAAUCAAGGCCUCCAUUUUUAGACUUCUAACUCUUUGAGCUUUCAUUAAGCUCAUUCCUAGUCUCAAAAGGGUACGGGUAGGGGUAAAAUAGUUAAGUCUCCCAUAACGACCUAGCGGAUUGUUACAGGAUGAUAGGUAUGGUAGCGACUACGGAACAAAAAACUCACAUUUUCACCAAUUGCAUAUAAGGAUAAAAGAAAAUAGUGAAAGUGUCUUGAGUAUUAUGAUGUUAGUGGUGUUAGUUCUUCAAAGAUCGGGAACGAUUUGGCAACAAACAUAUUCACGAGAUCGAAAAUUCACCAGAAGAUAAGUGAGGUUAAGAUGAAGAGAGAUGGAAGUGAUGUCAUGGGUAUUUGUUCGUGGUAUUUCUGUAUGAUGAUACAAUGCAGCUGGCUCUAAAGUAUGAAUCCAUUUUAUUGUUCUGCUUCAUUUCAAUAACAUCUUUCAUGAUACUUUUUGCGCCCACUAAUGUCAAAUAUUUUUUGAACCAUCUAUAACAAUGUUGCAGGAUGGAAUCCACAGUCAUUACAUUGUCUAAGAUAAAACAUAGCUGAAAUCAAACAUCAACACGUUUUGUAUAACUUCUUGGAUGAUAAUGAGAAAGAUGUAUGGCCACUUUUCCGCU